This 7583-nucleotide long non-coding RNA is filed under the name Lactuca sativa (garden lettuce). Its description in RNAcentral is "long non-coding RNA (LSAT_LNC007066)". Lineage: Eukaryota; Viridiplantae; Streptophyta; Magnoliopsida; Asterales; Asteraceae. The record is from RNAcentral.
CUCCCCUUCUUCAAAUUUUGGAACUCAUUGUUCAGAUCAAUCAGGUCUAUCUCUGAACAGUACUGCGCCUUCAGUUGUUCCAAGAACUCAUCCCAUGACAUUUUCAGAGCUUCUCCCCGUGGCAUUGUAUCUGCCAAUAGCUUCCACCAGCUCAAGACUCCAGUUUUCAAUUGUCUCACAGCGAAGACAGUCUUCUGCUUCUCGCUGCAGUCGCAGCUCUCAAACACCAUCUCCAUCUCGGAGAUCCAGUCCAUAAUCUCAACAGGCUUUGGGCUUCCUGAGAGACUUGGUGGUUUCGCACCCAAGAAAUUUUUGUACAUCCGCCCAUCCUUGUUGUUUCUCCCUUCUGGGCCAUCCUUUUGCUCACCUUGAGUCCCUACUUGACUCACUUGGCGGCUAUAGUUCCCUUCCUCAGAUGGCUCGGGAACUGGCUCCGUCGGUUCAACAUGUAUGGUAGGUUCGUCCCUAUUUUCGUGGAGCAUCCGUCUCAUUUCUUCCCUUUGUUCAGCUAGCAUAGCCUGAAUCAUGGCUUGAACUCCAGCCAUGGUGACUGGCUCAGGUGCAACUUCUUCAACAACAGGUAUUUGCUGAACCACUGGGGGUUGGUUCCUACCUCCAUUUGCGUUCACGUUUCCGCUACGGGUCCUUGCCAUCUUGAUCUAUACACCGAAUAAGGUGAAUUUAGAUCUUUAUUUAGGAUAGACGUUUUAAAUCGUCCUUAUCACUCCGAAACGUUUACAUGCUAGUUCUAAUAUCGUAGUCGUACGUUUAGAAUCCUAAACACAUAAGGUUUCCAGAUCCGGUCGGCAACAGACCAUAGAUCCGAACAAUUAACAGCAUAUUAUGCACAAAGCAUUUAGCACAUAAAAGCAUUUUAGGCACAAUUCCUAAAAUAAGCUAGUGCUCACACCUCACAAUCAUCGCUUAGCAUUCUAAGUUUAAGUCUAGAAAUCCUACAAAUUCCUAGUUCGCUUAAACUAAUGCUCUGAUACCAACUGUGACAUCCCCAAAAUCACGGCCAGAAAAGACCGGUUUGUUUAUGCUUUGUUUAAAAAUCAGAGUUACAUUUUAAAUGAAAGUGUUGCGGAAUUUGUCCCAAAACAAAAAUAUGAUAAAGAUUUAUCAAAAGCAUUUCCAUAGAAAUGUAUUUCAUUAAAAGACUCGGGAUGUCAUGUUCGUACAGAUCAAAAGCAUAAACAGUACAAUAUAAGCCUUACUACAUUAUUUCAUAUCUACAGGCCUAUAUCCGUAAUCCCUCGUCCAAAACAUCACACCUAUGCUCAUGCGCCACUACCUGUAAUACAUAAAACUGAGUGGGUCAGGCUUGGGAGCCUGGUGAGCACAUAGGGUUUUCAACCCACAAUAAAUAAGUUUAUUAAUUUCAUCGAUCAACAAUAACCCGAUUACCCGUUCCCGUUAUCCUCACUUUACGUCCCUAAACACCUAUCAUAAGGGACCUAGCCUAAGGAUCAUCAUCGGGACGGACACUACUGCUAAGGGGAUUCCUCAGCAAUAAAUGUCCUAAAGGCAACCAUGUGGGGGAUGGAGUACACCGGUGAACAUAUCGUUCACAAACACCUACAGGUUGCGAGCCUGCUAGUGUUCCACUGGACUGUCUAGAAGAGUCCGUGGUCGUCAUCCAUACUCCGCUAGAUGACAGAAUCAACAACAUCAACAUCGAGGCCUCUCAUCAUUUUAUCACACAUCACCUAUUGCAUCUACCCAUGUUUUACCCCAACAUUUUCGUAGAUAUAAAAUACAUAUACAGUUUAAAUCAUUGAAAACAUGUAUAACAACGUUCAUCUAGCAUAGAUAGCAAGUAUUCAGAUAAUAUGCACACAUAGCACGUAAUUUAUAUAAAAUACUUCAUAUCUAUGUGUAAGUUGAAAGUAACUAUGCACUCACUUGUUAAGGUGAUGAUUCCAAAAUCGGGCAGCGCUUGCUUCUAACGAUUCUAUUUUCCUUCGACGAAACCUAGCAUUAUUAUCGCUAAAUUUUAGUCUAAUAUUUACCGUGACCAACUAUUAGUCUUAGUAUUAUUAUUAUUAUAUAAGCGUUAAACAAUAUUUUCCAACCACUAUGUACAGACAGGGGCCAGACAUAAAACACCGGAGGGCAGGACCAUUUUGGCAUAUAGCACUUCUGAAAUCCAACAACCCUAUGCGGCCCUUUAAACCAGAUUCCCCGUACCGCGAGUAGUUAAAAAAAAAUUUAUAACGACACUUAUAUAAGUUAUAAUAAUAGCUCAAAUAUUUAUUAUAAGUUCAUAAUAACAAUACUAAUUUUAAAUAUAAGCUAUAUUAAAAUAAGGUAAGCAUAACUUACUUACAAGGGGGUUUUAGCUAGGAGUCGGGCUCUGCAGGGGCAGAACUUCGUCGCUGAAUCUUUCUAAGAAAGAUUCGUGCAGCGCUUCAGCGCUCACCUUACUAUACUAAGCUACAGAAAGAGAAGUCGAAUCACGAGGGACCGAAAUGCUCGGGGGAUAAGGAGAGAAAGACUCUUGAAUCAAGAGAAUGGUGCAAGAAAUAUGAGAGCCCAAGGCUCUUAUUUAUACUAAUUGAAUUUUCAAAAACUACCCUCCAUAAUUACUUAAUGACCUUUUAGUUAUAUAAACAACUAAACACCCCUCUAUAAUACUAUUAUAAAUGGAUUUAAUGAUAUUUGUACUAAACUAAUGUCGAAAGAACUCAACAUUAGUCUUAUAAUGACCGCAUCGUCGAUACCUUUCUAAUGAUAUAUACAUAUGUAUAUAUAUGUGUACGUAUACAUGAUUUAUACUUUAUUUUAAUACGUAAAUAUGCUAUUAUAAUUUGUAACUCGUUCAUACGAACUCCGUUUUUGACGUUCUUUAUAUCCACGCGUAGGUGAAGACGUACUCUACAACUUUCGUUUAGACUCCGUCGGCUAAUUUUGACUUUAUUUUUAAAGUUAUAUUUUUAACAAGCCGGGACAGGAUUGGUCUGUUUAAAAUCUCAUAACUUCUUCAUACGAAGUCAGAUUUGGGCGUUCUUUUUAUCGAUGUUCUUAGUUUAACAUAUUCUACGACUUUCGUUUAGAUCACUAAGGCUAAAUCUCGCUCUAUCGUAAAUUCACUAUUCACGCUUCCCGGUAUCGUGCCGGUUCUGUCGUGAAACUUCGACGGGUCAUAACUUCUUCGUUAUAACUCGGAUUUCGGCGUUCCUUAUAUGCACGGAAACCUUGAGACAUAUUCUACAACUUUAUGUAGAGAUAUCGGGAUUAUCUCACACUUUAAUUUUGACGCUCAUUUUUAUUCUUUAUUAAUUAUACAUUUAUAAUUAAAUAAUAAACACAUAUAAUUCACAUAAUACUCAAAUAUUUCAUCUUUAUUACUUCAAAAAGAGUUACAAGAGUUGACCUAGACUAUUACAUUGACAAAAAUGCUUAGCCCUGAAACCCGGGCGUUACAAUUCUCUCCCCCUUAGGAUGAUUCCGUCCCGGAAUCAUGCAUCAGCAAACAGAUGUGGAUAGCGACUCAUCAUGUCAUCCUCUGUUUCCCAAGUGAGAUUCGGCCCAUUCGAAUGUUUCCAUCGGACUAGCACCAAGUCGACCAUCUUGCGUCGUAACUUCUUAGUCUUACGGUCAACAAUUGCCUCAGGCUCUUCGAUCAACCUUUUAUUUUCAUCCAUCCUUAACUCUGAGAUUGGAAUUAUGUCGGGAACAUCUCCCGUGAAUUUCCUCAAAUAACACACAUGGAAGGUGUUAUGAAUACCAUUGAGUUCUUCGGGCAAUUCCAGCUUGUAAGCUUGGUUCCCUAUCUUCUGAAGAACUUUGAACGGUCCAAUAAACCUUGGACUCAACUUUCCUCGUUUCCCAAAUCGUAUAAGUCCCUUCCACGGUGAGACUUUAAGCAAAACGGAAUCCCCAACUUCGAAAGUUAUCGGUCGUCUUUUCUUGUCAGCAUAGCUCUUCUGACGAUCCUGGGCUGCUAACAUCCUUUCCCUAAUCACCUUCAACUUCUCAGCAGUCUCAUGGACUAUCUCGGGGCCCAUAAACUGCUUCUCUCCGGCUUCAAGCCAACAAGACGGCGUACGACACUUCUGCCCAUACAAGGCUUGAUAAGGAGCCAUCUUGAUGCUCGAGUGAAAACUAUUGUUGUAGGAAAAUUCUACCAGAGGUAAGUGCUCGUCCCAAUUCCCUUGGAAUUCGAGGGUACAUGCUCUCAGCAUAUCUUCCAGCGUCUGAAUCGUUCUUUCGCUCUGACCAUCAGUUUGCGGAUGAUAAGCAGUACUCAAACACAACUUUGUACCUAACUCCUCUUGUAGACUCCUCCAAAACCUUGACGUGAAACGACUAUCACGAUCUGAUACAAUCGUAAGAGGGACACCGUGAAGUCUUACAAUUUCCUUCACGUAAGCAUUUGCGAGCUUAUCCAUAGACCACUUCUCGUUGGCUGCUAUGAAGUGUGCACUCUUGGUGAAACGAUCCACGACUACCCAAAUCAUGUCGUGACCGUUCUUCGUCCUGGGCAGUUUAGUCACAAAAUCCAUGGUGAUGUCUUCCCAUUUACCCAUGGGUACAGGUAAAGGUUCUAAACUCCCAUACGGUUUCUGAUGUUGUGCCUUAACCCUCGCACAUGUUACGCACUCGGCCACAUACUUCGCAACAUCGAGCUUCAUCGUCGGCCACCAGUAGUAGGGUUUUAGGUCCCUAUACAUUUUAGUGCUACCGGGAUGAAUCGAGUACAUGGUCUUGUGUGCUUCUUCCAUCAGAAGAUCUCUUAUUCCUCCCGUCUUAGGUACCCAAAUUCGAUCUUGGAAUACCUUCAGUCCUCGACUGUUUGUACCGAACACUAACGUUCUUCCCAAACGUUCUUCCUUUCGGUCAUUUUUCUCUAAAGCUUCUUCUUGAGCUUUCCUGAUACUUUCCACAAUCGUCGAGACGACUUCAAUUCUUAACGCUCUUGGCCUUUUCCUUUCCAGAUUGACUUUCCGACUGAGAGCAUCAGCAACAAUAUUUGCUUUACCUGGGUGGUAAAGUAUCUCACAGUCGUAGUCCUUGAGAAGUUCUAGCCAGCGUCGUUGCCUCAUGUUCAACUCCUUCUGAUUAAAGAGAUACUGGAGACUCUUAUGAUCAGUGAAGAGCUUGCACUUCGUGCCGUAGAGGUAAUGCCUCCAUAUCUUUAAGGCAAAAACUACCGCUGCCAACUCCAGAUCAUGAGUGGGGUAGUUCUUUUCGUGCUCUUUCAAUUGUCGAGAUGCGUAUGCUAUCACCUUUUCUCUUUGGGUCAGAACACAACCCAACCCGACUCCAGAAGCGUCACUAUAAACCGCGAAAUCUUCGACUCCAUCGGGUAGAGAAAGUAUCGGUGCUUCACAUAACUUCUUCUUUAGCUUCUCGAAUGCCUCAUCGUGUUUCUCACUCCACGUAUACGUAGCUCCUUUAUGAGUCAAAGCUGUUAAUGGAGCAGCUAUCGAAGAAAAGCCUUGGAUAAAUCGUCGAUAAUAUCCGGCUAAUCCUAGAAAGCUUCGAAUCUCCGUGGGACUCUUUGGACGUUCCCACUUCAUUACAGCCUCGAUCUUUGCGGGGUCAACCAUUAUUCCCUCCUGGUUAACAACAUGACCCAAGAAUUGGACUUCCCGUAUCCAAAAGUCGCAUUUGGAGAACUUUGCAAAAAGCUUCUCCUUCUUCAACACUUCUAAUACUUCCCGUAGAUGCUUGCCAUGCUCCUCUUGGCUUUUCGAGUAGAUGAGAAUGUCGUCGAUGAACACUAUCACGGAUUUAUCGAGGAAUGGUUUACAAACCCUAUUCAUCAAAUCCAUGAAUGCUGCGGGAGCAUUGGUUAGCCCGAAUGACAUAACCAAGAACUCGUAGUGUCCAUAUCUCGUUCUGAAUGCAGUCUUCUCAAUAUCCUGCUUUCUCACCUUUAGCUGAUGAUAUCCUGACCUAAGAUCGAUCUUUGAGAAGUAGCUCGAACCUUGCAGCUGAUCGAAUAGGUCAUCAAUCCUCGGCAAUGGAUACUUGUUCUUCACCGUUGCCUUAUUCAGCUCUCGGUAGUCUAUACACAUUCUCAUACUUCCGUCCUUCUUCUUCACGAAUAACACCGGAGCUCCCCAGGGUGAUGAACUAGGUCGAAUAAAACCGUUGUCCAACAGCUCCUGAAGUUGCGUCAUGAGCUCCUUCAUCUCCGUCGGUGCUAAUCGGUAAGGUGCCUUUGCUAUCGGUGUUGUUCCUGGUAACAAGUCUAUACGAAACUCCACUUGCCUAUCAGGUGGUAAUCCGGGAAGAUCUUCGGGAAAGACUUCCGGAUAAUCACACACAACCGGUAUAUUCUGCACCUCUUUCUUCUCCUUCUUGGCAUCGAUUACGAAUGCCAAGUAUGAUGCACAUCCUUUGGACAAACAUUUCCUGGCUUUCAUCAGGGAGAUGAUUCCAGAAUUCACUCUGCGUUUGUCCCCAUACACCAUAAAUGAUUCUUUUCCGGGUGGGUUUACCUUUACUAUCUUCUUUCGGCAUUGAAUCUCAGCAUCGUUGGCGCUAAGCCAAUCCAUACCCAAAACGAUGUCGAAACCGUUUAACUCUAUGGGUAAUAGCUCUUCGUGGAAUUCGUUUCCGUUUAGGUCAAUGACGAUGUUCCUAAUACGAUUACUAACAGGUACGAAUUUGCCACUGGCAACUUCUACAAUCAGGGCAUUAUCUAGUUUUUCUACAGGCAAUGCUAAUUUCCCACCAAAUUUAUGCGACACAAAGGAGUAGUUGGCUCCGGAAUCAAAUAGUAUAUUUGCAGGCAAACCAUUUACAAGAAAGGUACCUGAAGCGACGUCUGCUGCCUCCUUUGCAGCCUCGAGCGUCAUCUGGAAGGCUCUCGCCUUCGGCUUCGGUGGUAUGUUGGGUCUUCCUGUCUCCUUCUUCUUCGGGCAGUCCUUCAAAAUGUGCCCUUCUUCAUUGCACCCAUAACAGGCUUUCUGGUUGAGGGUGCAUUCAUUGGCGUAGUGCCCAGGCUUUCCGCACUUGUAACAAGUGACCCCUCCGUCACACUUCCCAGAGUGCUUCUUCUUGCACUUGUCACACCACUUCGCUUCUGAUCCUCCUCCCCUCGAACCAGACUUCGAGAAUCUACUCUUCUUGUUGGACUUCGAGGAUCCAUUGAACUUCCGUUUCUCACCAACCUCAGCCCUCUCCAGACCUCUUUCCUUUUGUUGGGUCUCCAUAUUCUUAGCUGCUCGAACAGCUGAUUUCAGAGUGGUUGCCAUCUUGACUGUUGGGCCAAAGUCAGCCGGCAGUCCGUUUGCGAAUUUCUCAAUUUUGGAAAGUUCGGUUGGCACUAGGUAUGGAAACAACUUCAUCUUUUCCGUAAAUGCAGCAGCAUAGUCAUCGAUGCUCAUUCUCCCCUUCUUCAAAUUUUGGAACUCAUUGUUCAGAUCAAUCAGGUCUAUCUCUGAACAGUACUGCGCCUUCAGUUGUUUCAAGAACUCAUCCCAUGAUAUUUUCAGAGCUUCUCCCCGUGGCAUUGUAUCUGCCAAUAGCUUCCACCAGCUCAAGACUCCAGUUUUCAAUUGUCUCACAGCGAAGACAGUCUUCUGCUUCUCGCUGCAGUCGCAGCUCUCAAACACCAUCUCCAUCUC